CAGUUCGGACUGGAGUCUGCAACCCGACUCCACGAAGCUGGAUUCGCUAGUAAUCGCGCAUCAGCCAUGGCGCGGUGAAUACGUUCCCGGGCCUUGUACACACCGCCCGUCAAGCCAUGAAAGCCGGGGGUGCCUGAAGUCCGUGACCGCGAGGGUCGGCCUAGGGUAAAACUGGUGAUUGGGGCUAAGUCGUAACAAGGUAGC
Molecule: ribosomal RNA, 204 nt
Filed under: uncultured bacterium
Lineage: Bacteria
Description: partial 16S ribosomal RNA
Rfam family: Bacterial small subunit ribosomal RNA
Source: RNAcentral